GUUGUGAGGUUAAGCGACUAAGCGUACACGGUGGAUGCCCUGGCAGUCAGAGGCGAUGAAGGGCGUGCUAAUCUGCGAUAAGCGCCGGUAAGGUGAUAUGAACCGUUAUAACCGGCGAUACCCGAAUGGGGAAACCCAGUGUGACUCGUCACACUAUCAUUAACUGAAUCCAUAGGUUAAUGAGGCGAACCGGGGGAACUGAAACAUCUAAGUACCCCGAGGAAAAGAAAUCAACCGAGAUUCCCCCAGUAGCGGCGAGCGAACGGGGAGGAGCCCAGAGCCUGAAUCAGCAUGUGUGUUAGUGGAAGCGUCUGGAAAGGCGCGCGAUACAGGGUGACAGCCCCGUACACAAAAGCGCAUGUGCUGUGAGCUCGAUGAGUAGGGCGGGACACGUGGUAUCCUGUCUGAAUAUGGGGGGACCAUCCUCCAAGGCUAAAUACUCCUGACUGACCGAUAGUGAACCAGUACCGUGAGGGAAAGGCGAAAAGAACCCCGGCGAGGGGAGUGAAAAAGAACCUGAAACCGUGUACGUACAAGCAGUGGGAGCACAGGUUUACCUGUGUGACUGCGUACCUUUUGUAUAAUGGGUCAGCGACUUAUAUUCUGUAGCAAGGUUAACCGAAUAGGGGAGCCGGAGGGAAACCGAGUCUUAAUUGGGCGUUAAGUUGCAGGGUAUAGACCCGAAACCCGGUGAUCUAGCCAUGGGCAGGUUGAAGGUUGGGUAACACUAACUGGAGGACCGAACCGACUAAUGUUGAAAAAUUAGCGGAUGACCUGUGGCUGGGGGUGAAAGGCCAAUCAAACCGGGAGAUAGCUGGUUCUCCCCGAAAGCUAUUUAGGUAGCGCCUCGUGAAUUCAUCUCCGGGGGUAGAGCACUGUUUCGGCUAGGGGGCCAUCCCGGCUUACCAACCCGAUGCAAACUGCGAAUACCGGAGAAUGUUAUCACGGGAGACACACGGCGGGUGCUAACGUCCGUCGUGAAGAGGGAAACAACCCAGACCGCCAGCUAAGGUCCCAAAGUCAUGGUUAAGUGGGAAACGAUGUGGGAAGGCCCAGACAGCCAGGAUGUUGGCUUAGAAGCAGCCAUCAUUUAAAGAAAGCGUAAUAGCUCACUGGUCGAGUCGGCCUGCGCGGAAGAUGUAACGGGGCUAAACCAUGCACCGAAGCUGCGGCAGCGACACUGUGUGUUGUUGGGUAGGGGAGCGUUCUGUAAGCCUGCGAAGGUGGCCUGUGAGGGUUGCUGGAGGUAUCAGAAGUGCGAAUGCUGACAUAAGUAACGAUAAAGCGGGUGAAAAGCCCGCUCGCCGGAAGACCAAGGGUUCCUGUCCAACGUUAAUCGGGGCAGGGUGAGUCGACCCCUAAGGCGAGGCCGAAAGGCGUAGUCGAUGGGAAACGGGUUAAUAUUCCCGUACUUGGUGUUACUGCGAAGGGGGGACGGAGAAGGCUAUGUUGGCCGGGCGACGGUUGUCCCGGUUUAAGCGUGUAGGUGUGUGUUCCAGGUAAAUCCGGUUCACUUUAACACUGAGGCGUGACGACGAGGCACUACGGUGCUGAAGCAACAAAUGCCCUGCUUCCAGGAAAAGCCUCUAAGCAUCAGGUAACAUCAAAUCGUACCCCAAACCGACACAGGUGGUCAGGUAGAGAAUACCAAGGCGCUUGAGAGAACUCGGGUGAAGGAACUAGGCAAAAUGGUGCCGUAACUUCGGGAGAAGGCACGCUGACACGUAGGUGAAGUGAUUUACUCAUGGAGCUGAAGUCAGUCGAAGAUACCAGCUGGCUGCAACUGUUUAUUAAAAACACAGCACUGUGCAAACACGAAAGUGGACGUAUACGGUGUGACGCCUGCCCGGUGCCGGAAGGUUAAUUGAUGGGGUCAGCGCAAGCGAAGCUCCUGAUCGAAGCCCCGGUAAACGGCGGCCGUAACUAUAACGGUCCUAAGGUAGCGAAAUUCCUUGUCGGGUAAGUUCCGACCUGCACGAAUGGCGUAAUGAUGGCCAGGCUGUCUCCACCCGAGACUCAGUGAAAUUGAACUCGCUGUGAAGAUGCAGUGUACCCGCGGCAAGACGGAAAGACCCCGUGAACCUUUACUAUAGCUUGACACUGAACAUUGAGCCUUGAUGUGUAGGAUAGGUGGGAGGCUUUGAAGUGUGGACGCCAGUCUGCAUGGAGCCGACCUUGAAAUACCACCCUUUAAUGUUUGAUGUUCUAACGUGGACCCGUUACCCGGGUUGCGGACAGUGUCUGGUGGGUAGUUUGACUGGGGCGGUCUCCUCCUAAAGAGUAACGGAGGAGCACGAAGGUUGGCUAAUCCUGGUCGGACAUCAGGAGGUUAGUGCAAUGGCAUAAGCCAGCUUGACUGCGAGCGUGACGGCGCGAGCAGGUGCGAAAGCAGGUCAUAGUGAUCCGGUGGUUCUGAAUGGAAGGGCCAUCGCUCAACGGAUAAAAGGUACUCCGGGGAUAACAGGCUGAUACCGCCCAAGAGUUCAUAUCGACGGCGGUGUUUGGCACCUCGAUGUCGGCUCAUCACAUCCUGGGGCUGAAGUAGGUCCCAAGGGUAUGGCUGUUCGCCAUUUAAAGUGGUACGCGAGCUGGGUUUAGAACGUCGUGAGACAGUUCGGUCCCUAUCUGCCGUGGGCGCUGGAGAACUGAGGGGGGCUGCUCCUAGUACGAGAGGACCGGAGUGGACGCAUCACUGGUGUUCGGGUUGUCAUGCCAAUGGCACUGCCCGGUAGCUAAAUGCGGAAGAGAUAAGUGCUGAAAGCAUCUAAGCACGAAACUUGCCCCGAG
RNAcentral lists this ribosomal RNA (2787 nucleotides) under Salmonella enterica subsp. enterica serovar Enteritidis. RNAcentral's name for it is "partial 23S ribosomal RNA". It matches the Rfam family "Bacterial large subunit ribosomal RNA". Lineage: Bacteria; Pseudomonadati; Pseudomonadota; Gammaproteobacteria; Enterobacterales; Enterobacteriaceae. The record is from RNAcentral.